RNAcentral lists this ribosomal RNA (440 nucleotides) under uncultured bacterium. Its description in RNAcentral is "partial 16S ribosomal RNA". It matches the Rfam family "Bacterial small subunit ribosomal RNA", at positions 338 to 795 of the family's 1533-position model. The record is from RNAcentral.
CCUACGGGAGGCAGCAGUGAGGAAUAUUGGUCAAUGGGCGGAAGCCUGAUGCAGCGACGCCGCGUGAGUGAAGAAGUAUUUCGGUAUGUAAAGCUCUAUCAGCAGGGAAGAAAAUGACGGUACCUGAAUAAGAAGCCCCGGCUAACUACGGGCCAGCAGCAGCGGUAAUACGUAGGGGGCAAGCGUUAUACGGAUUUACUGGGUGUAAAGGGAGCGGAGACGGCAGCACAAGUCUGGAGUGAAAUGCCGGGGCUUAACCCCGGAACUGCUUUGGAAACUGUGCAGCUGGAGUGCAGGAGAGGUCAGUGGAAUUCCUGGUGUAGCGGUGAAAUGCGUAGAUAUCAGGAGGAACACCAGUGGCGAAGGCGGCUUACUGGACUGUAACUGACGUUGAGGCUCGAAAGCGUGGGGAGCAAACAGGAUUAGAUACCCCAGUAGUC